This 2928-nucleotide ribosomal RNA is filed under the name Salmonella enterica subsp. enterica serovar Enteritidis str. SA20084644. Its description in RNAcentral is "bacterial LSU rRNA". It matches the Rfam family "Bacterial large subunit ribosomal RNA". The record is from RNAcentral. Lineage: Bacteria; Pseudomonadati; Pseudomonadota; Gammaproteobacteria; Enterobacterales; Enterobacteriaceae.
GGGUUGUGAGGUUAAGCGACUAAGCGUACACGGUGGAUGCCCUGGCAGUCAGAGGCGAUGAAGGGCGUGCUAAUCUGCGAUAAGCGCCGGUAAGGUGAUAUGAACCGUUAUAACCGGCGAUACCCGAAUGGGGAAACCCAGUGUGAUUCGUCACACUAUCAUUAACUGAAUCCAUAGGUUAAUGAGGCGAACCGGGGGAACUGAAACAUCUAAGUACCCCGAGGAAAAGAAAUCAACCGAGAUUCCCCCAGUAGCGGCGAGCGAACGGGGAGGAGCCCAGAGCCUGAAUCAGCAUGUGUGUUAGUGGAAGCGUCUGGAAAGGCGCGCGAUACAGGGUGACAGCCCCGUACACAAAAGCGCAUGUGCUGUGAGCUCGAUGAGUAGGGCGGGACACGUGGUAUCCUGUCUGAAUAUGGGGGGACCAUCCUCCAAGGCUAAAUACUCCUGACUGACCGAUAGUGAACCAGUACCGUGAGGGAAAGGCGAAAAGAACCCCGGCGAGGGGAGUGAAAAAGAACCUGAAACCGUGUACGUACAAGCAGUGGGAGCACAGGNNNNNNNNNNNNNNNNNNUACCUUUUGUAUAAUGGGUCAGCGACUUAUAUUCUGUAGCAAGGUUAACCGAAUAGGGGAGCCGGAGGGAAACCGAGUCUUAAUUGGGCGUUAAGUUGCAGGGUAUAGACCCGAAACCCGGUGAUCUAGCCAUGGGCAGGUUGAAGGUUGGGUAACACUAACUGGAGGACCGAACCGACUAAUGUUGAAAAAUUAGCGGAUGACCUGUGGCUGGGGGUGAAAGGCCAAUCAAACCGGGAGAUAGCUGGUUCUCCCCGAAAGCUAUUUAGGUAGCGCCUCGUGAAUUCAUCUCCGGGGGUAGAGCACUGUUUCGGCUAGGGGGCCAUCCCGGCUUACCAACCCGAUGCAAACUGCGAAUACCGGAGAAUGUUAUCACGGGAGACACACGGCGGGUGCUAACGUCCGUCGUGAAGAGGGAAACAACCCAGACCGCCAGCUAAGGUCCCAAAGUCAUGGUUAAGUGGGAAACGAUGUGGGAAGGCCCAGACAGCCAGGAUGUUGGCUUAGAAGCAGCCAUCAUUUAAAGAAAGCGUAAUAGCUCACUGGUCGAGUCGGCCUGCGCGGAAGAUGUAACGGGGCUAAACCAUGCACCGAAGCUGCGGCAGCGACACUGUGUGUUGUUGGGUAGGGGAGCGUUCUGUAAGCCUGUGAAGGUGUGUCGUGAGGCAUGCUGGAGGUAUCAGAAGUGCGAAUGCUGACAUAAGUAACGAUAAAGCGGGUGAAAAGCCCGCUCGCCGGAAGACCAAGGGUUCCUGUCCAACGUUAAUCGGGGCAGGGUGAGUCGACCCCUAAGGCGAGGCCGAAAGGCGUAGUCGAUGGGAAACGGGUUAAUAUUCCCGUACUUGGUGUUACUGCGAAGGGGGGACGGAGAAGGCUAUGUUGGCCGGGCGACGGUUGUCCCGGUUUAAGCGUGUAGGUGUGUGUUCCAGGUAAAUCCGGUUCACUUUAACACUGAGGCGUGACGACGAGGCACUACGGUGCUGAAGCAACAAAUGCCCUGCUUCCAGGAAAAGCCUCUAAGCAUCAGGUAACAUCAAAUCGUACCCCAAACCGACACAGGUGGUCAGGUAGAGAAUACCAAGGCGCUUGAGAGAACUCGGGUGAAGGAACUAGGCAAAAUGGUGCCGUAACUUCGGGAGAAGGCACGCUGACACGUAGGUGAAGUGAUUUACUCAUGGAGCUGAAGUCAGUCGAAGAUACCAGCUGGCUGCAACUGUUUAUUAAAAACACAGCACUGUGCAAACACGAAAGUGGACGUAUACGGUGUGACGCCUGCCCGGUGCCGGAAGGUUAAUUGAUGGGGUCAGCGCAAGCGAAGCUCCUGAUCGAAGCCCCGGUAAACGGCGGCCGUAACUAUAACGGUCCUAAGGUAGCGAAAUUCCUUGUCGGGUAAGUUCCGACCUGCACGAAUGGCGUAAUGAUGGCCAGGCUGUCUCCACCCGAGACUCAGUGAAAUUGAACUCGCUGUGAAGAUGCAGUGUACCCGCGGCAAGACGGAAAGACCCCGUGAACCUUUACUAUAGCUUGACACUGAACAUUGAGCCUUGAUGUGUAGGAUAGGUGGGAGGCUUUGAAGUGUGGACGCCAGUCUGCAUGGAGCCGACCUUGAAAUACCACCCUUUAAUGUUUGAUGUUCUAACGUGGACCCGUUACCCGGGUUGCGGACAGUGUCUGGUGGGUAGUUUGACUGGGGCGGUCUCCUCCUAAAGAGUAACGGAGGAGCACGAAGGUUGGCUAAUCCUGGUCGGACAUCAGGAGGUUAGUGCAAUGGCAUAAGCCAGCUUGACUGCGAGCGUGACGGCGCGAGCAGGUGCGAAAGCAGGUCAUAGUGAUCCGGUGGUUCUGAAUGGAAGGGCCAUCGCUCAACGGAUAAAAGGUACUCCGGGGAUAACAGGCUGAUACCGCCCAAGAGUUCAUAUCGACGGCGGUGUUUGGCACCUCGAUGUCGGCUCAUCACAUCCUGGGGCUGAAGUAGGUCCCAAGGGUAUGGCUGUUCGCCAUUUAAAGUGGUACGCGAGCUGGGUUUAGAACGUCGUGAGACAGUUCGGUCCCUAUCUGCCGUGGGCGCUGGAGAACUGAGGGGGGCUGCUCCUAGUACGAGAGGACCGGAGUGGACGCAUCACUGGUGUUCGGGUUGUCAUGCCAAUGGCACUGCCCGGUAGCUAAAUGCGGAAGAGAUAAGUGCUGAAAGCAUCUAAGCACGAAACUUGCCCCGAGAUGAGUUCUCCCUGAGACUUAGAGUCUCCUGAAGGAACGUUGAAGACGACGACGUUGAUAGGCCGGGUGUGUAAGCGCAGCGAUGCGUUGAGCUAACCGGUACUAAUGAACCGUGAGGCUUAACCUUACAACGCCGAAG